UACGUAGGUGACCAGCGUUGUCCGGAUUUACUGGGCGUAAAGAGCGCGCAGGCGGUCGUUCAAGUCGAGUGUGAAAGCCCCCGGCUCAACUGGGGAGGGUCACUCGAUACUGAUCGACUUGAAGGCAGGAGAGGGAAGCGGAAUUCCCGGUGUAGUGGUGAAAUGCGUAGAUAUCAGGAGGAACACCGGUGGCGAAGGCGGAUCUCUGGGCCUUACCUGACGCUCAGGCACGAAAGCUAGGGGAGCGAACAGG
This 253-nucleotide ribosomal RNA is filed under the name uncultured bacterium. RNAcentral's name for it is "partial 16S ribosomal RNA". It matches the Rfam family "Bacterial small subunit ribosomal RNA", at positions 524 to 776 of the family's 1533-position model. The record is from RNAcentral.